GUGCCAGCAGCCGCGGUAAAACGUAGGGGGCCAGCGUUGCUCGGAAUUACUGGGCGUAAAGGGUCUGUAGGCGGUGCGGUAAGUCCGGAGUGAAAUCUCCAGGCUCAACUUGGAGGCUGCUUUGGAAACUGCCGUGCUCGAGUGCGGGAGAGGCGCGUGGAAUUGCAGGUGUAGCGGUGAAAUGCGUAGAUAUCUGCAGGAACACCAGUGGCGAAAGCGGCGCGCUGGACCGCAACUGACGCUGAGAGACGAAAGCUAGGGGAGCAAACAGGAUUAGAUACCCUGGUAGUCCUAGCCCUAAACCAUCAGGACUUGGCGUGGGCCCCGUCCGGGGUCCGUGUCGUAGCCAACGUGAUAAGUCCUGCGCCUGGGGAGUACGGUUCGCAAGGCUGAAACUCAAAGGAAUUGACGG
RNAcentral lists this ribosomal RNA (412 nucleotides) under uncultured bacterium. RNAcentral's name for it is "bacterial SSU rRNA". It matches the Rfam family "Bacterial small subunit ribosomal RNA", at positions 505 to 916 of the family's 1533-position model. The record is from RNAcentral.